Mirounga angustirostris (Northern elephant seal) is the source of this 496-nucleotide long non-coding RNA. RefSeq lists it as uncharacterized. The transcript has 3 exons. NCBI's taxonomy places the organism in Eukaryota, Metazoa, Chordata, Mammalia, Carnivora, Phocidae. The record is from RefSeq and is a predicted model, not a curated record.
UCUCGUUUUGUGUCCACGUUUGUUCAGUCUUGAGCUUCUCCACACAGAAAGCCACACUGGCUCAGCAUCUUGAAGCACGUUCUCUAAUACAACGAUCUCCAACUGCCACAGAGCCUCUAAGCAAGAUGAGAGUGGACUUAACAUGACAAGAUGCCACAUUCAUUUUAAAUUGUCGUUGCUGAUACCAAACCUUUGAUGUUUGAGACACCUGCCUGGGAGUCAGCAGCAUACUCUAUCAGAAUGUCAGGAACCGUCACGAGGACCUGGGCCCUGGGCCCUGGGAGACAGGGCUGUGCGUCAUGGGAUGCAAGUCCUGGAACGAUGACAGGGGAGAAGCAAGGAAAAGAUUAAGGAGGGAAAGAAGGUGGCAUUUCUUGAUUCUCCUUUUCAUCUUAGUGACGACAGACCCAGACUGGGACUCAGGAGACUGGAAGGUCAUCCUCAAACCCACCUCUUUGCUAAAUUACUGAAUUUCUCUGUACUUCACUUUCUCUGU